RNAcentral lists this ribosomal RNA (77 nucleotides) under Vibrio harveyi. RNAcentral's name for it is "partial 16S ribosomal RNA". It matches the Rfam family "Bacterial small subunit ribosomal RNA", at positions 1 to 75 of the family's 1533-position model. Lineage: Bacteria; Pseudomonadati; Pseudomonadota; Gammaproteobacteria; Vibrionales; Vibrionaceae. The record is from RNAcentral. RNAcentral also lists the same sequence under 3 other names.
UUAAAUUGAAGAGUUUGAUCAUGGCUCAGAUUGAACGCUGGCGGCAGGCCUAACACAUGCAAGUCGAGCGGAAACGA